Molecule: ribosomal RNA, 482 nt
Filed under: uncultured bacterium
Lineage: Bacteria
Description: partial 16S ribosomal RNA
Rfam family: Bacterial small subunit ribosomal RNA
Source: RNAcentral
AUUGAACGCUGGCGGCAUGCCUUACACAUGCCAGUCGAACGGUAACGGGCCUUCGGGUGCCGACGAGUGGCGAACGGGUGAGUAAUACAUCGGAACGUGCCCGAUCGUGGGGGAUAACGAGGCGAAAGCUUUGCUAAUACCGCAUACGAUCUACGGAUGAAAGCAGGGGACCGCAAGGCCUUGCGCGGACGGAGCGGCCGAUGGCAGAUUAGGUAGUUGGUGGGGUAAAAGCUUACCAAGCCGACGAUCUGUAGCUGGUCUGAGAGGAUGAUCAGCCACACUGGGACUGAGACACGGCCCAGACUCCUACGGGAGGCAGCAGUGGGGAAUUUUGGACAAUGGGCGCAAGCCUGAUCCAGCCAUGCCGCGUGCAGGAUGAAGGCCUUCGGGUUGUAAACUGCUUUUGUACGGAACGAAAAGCCUUCUUUUAAUACAGGAGGGUCAUGACGGUACCGUAAGAAUAAGCACCGGCUAACUACGUG